This 1785-nucleotide long non-coding RNA is filed under the name Piliocolobus tephrosceles (Ugandan red Colobus). RNAcentral describes it as "lncRNA (ENSPTEG00000008991.1)". The record is from RNAcentral. Lineage: Eukaryota; Metazoa; Chordata; Mammalia; Primates; Cercopithecidae.
AUGUAUAAAUAUAUUACUUUUUUCGUAAAGAAUAAAAAAUAUAACAAUUCUCACAGAACAUAUAGCUUCCCAUCACGUGUAGAUAAAAAAAAAAAAAAAUUAAUAUAUACAUUGAAUAGAGUAAAAAACAAUCCCGAUUCAACAACUUAUAAAAAAUAUACCAUACAAAAUUUUAGUAACAUAUUUAAAAAAGAAUCCGUAACACCAACUGAUUGUAUAAUAAGAUAUGGUGAUGUUUGUCAUUACAAUGCAAAUCAUUAUAAUUUUAUGUACAGUCAGCAAUAUAUAUGUGAUAAUGAAAAAGAGAAUUUAACUAAAUUAAUUAGUAAAAUCAAUUCGAUGAAAAUAUAUUACCAAAAAGAAGGAAAUGCACAUAUUACCACUACUACCACCACUACUACUACUACUACUACUAAUACUACUACUACCGAUGGUGAAACGUCGAGACAUAAUAAUACGGACAACAACAAUGACAACAACAAUUACAACAACAAUUACAACAACAAUAACAAUAACAAUUACAAUAACAAUGACAACAACAAUUACAAUAACAAUGACAAUAACAAUUACAACAACAAUUACAACAACAAUUACAACAACAAUUACAACAAUAAUGAAAACAACAAUGAAAACAACAAUUACAACAACAAUGAAAACAACAAUUACAACAACAAUAACAAUAACAAUAACAAUGACAAUAACAAUGACAAUAACAAUGACAACAACAAUUACAACAACAAUUACAACAACAAUGACAAUAACAAUUACAAUAACAAUUACAACAACAAUUACAAUAACAAUUACAACAACAAUUACAAUAACAAUGACAAUAACAAUUACAAUAACAAUUACAACAACAAUUACAACAACAAUUACAACAAUAAUUACAACAACAAUGACAACAACAAUGACAAUAACAAUGAAAACAACAAUGUAGAUUAUAAUUUAUAUUCAAGUGAUUUGUUAAGUGAUAGUAAUGCAUCUUAUACAAAUGUAUAUAACGAUAUUGGAGAUAUGGAUGUAUCUCUCGGAACAUUUCUUGAGCAAUCAUGUACAAAUAAUUCAUACACAAAUGAUGCAUGUUUAACUAUCGCAAGUAGUCUUAAAUUAGAAUCAAUAAACAGAUGUGAUAACGAAGAUUAUAUAAAUAAUAAUAAUAUAACAGAUAAAAAUAAUAUAAAUUAUAUAGAAAAAAAAGAUGAAAAUAUAAAUAAAAAUAUGACAUAUAUCGAAACAUUUAAUAAUACAUAUGUUAGUGAUAAAUUUAAUACUAAUACAAAUUACAGUAAUAUAGAAUAUAGCAACAAAAACAAUAACUUUAAUAUAUGUCUAACUAAUAAAUAUCAAAAUAAUACAAUACAUAACAUACAUAAAGAAAAAACAAAGCAUAUUAAAUUAGAACGCAUGCAAUAUGAAUUUAUCACAACAACUUAUGCUUGUAACAAUAUUAAUUAUAAUCUACCACAACUUGAUAUAAAACAAAAUCUUAUAAAUUGUGCUGAAAAACAAAACGAAAAACAAAACGAAAAACAAAACGAAAAACAAAAAUUAUAUAACUUAAUUAAUAAAAUAAAUAUAGAUUUAAAAAAUAAUAAUAACAUUAAUGUAUUAAGUAGUACAAUAAACAAUUGUGGACAGUCCAAAGAAAAGAACAACCAAAUUGUUAAAUUAAACACCAGUCAAGAUUUAAAUUAUAAAAUAGCAAAUACUGAUAACAAUAUAUUUAAUCUUACUGAUAAAAAUGAAAAAAAAAAAAGAAAAACCAAGCGAUUUUAUAAAUAUUAA